This 464-nucleotide ribosomal RNA is filed under the name uncultured Desulfobulbus sp. RNAcentral's name for it is "bacterial SSU rRNA". It matches the Rfam family "Bacterial small subunit ribosomal RNA", at positions 927 to 1382 of the family's 1533-position model. The record is from RNAcentral. Lineage: Bacteria; Pseudomonadati; Thermodesulfobacteriota; Desulfobulbia; Desulfobulbales; Desulfobulbaceae.
AAGCGGUGGAGUAUGUGGUUUAAUUCGAUGCAACGCGAAGAACCUUACCUGGUCUUGACAUCCCGGAGACCCUUAGGAAACUAGGGGGUGCUUCCAGUCUGGAAGAAUCUGGAGACAGGUGCUGCAUGGCUGUCGUCAGCUCGUGUCGUGAGAUGUUGGGUUAAGUCCCGGCAACGAGCGCAACCCUUGCCUUUAGUUGCCAGCAGUUCGGCUGGGCACUCUAAAGGGACUGCCGGUGUUAAACCGGAGGAAGGUGGGGAUGGACGUCAAGUCCUCAUGGCCUUUAUGACCAGGGCUACACACGUACUACAAUGGCCGAUACAAAGGGCAGCGACACUGCGAGGUGAAGCCAAUCCCGUAAAAUCGGUCUCAGUCCGGAUUGGAGUCUGCAACUCGACUCCAUGAAGUUGGAAUCGCUAGUAAUCGUGGAUCAGCAUGCCACGGUGAAUACGUUCCCGGGCCUU